AUGGGUAGAUACUGCAUUGCAAUCUACCGAGCUAGAGACAAGAAUCGUGCGAAUGUGGACCGAAGUCGUCUUGUGCGCUUCCGAAACACCUUAAACGAUUGCGAGCUCAAGGAGAUUCACCUUCAAAAUAGAAGAUUCACUUGGAGUAAUGAGCAAGACCCAACUUUGAGCAAGCUUGAUAGUUUCUUCUGCAAUGAGGAUUGGGACGUUGAUUUCUCUACUCACAUCCUUCAUGCCCUCUCAUCAUCGUUAUCCGACCACUGUCCCUUUUUGCUUGCUAACGAUGAUGGGCCCAAGCGACCCAAGUCCUUCCGCUUCGAAAACUUCUGGAUCAAAAUGCCGGGCUUCCAACAGGUGGUCAGUGAUGCUUGGAGCGAGGAAUCAAGGCAUGUUGAGCCCUACCAAAGGCUCUUCCACAAGCUCAAGAAGACAAGCCAAAAAUUGCGUGUUUGGAGCAAGACCCUCUUUGCCAACUCGAAGGUCCAAAUCCACAUGGCCCUCAAAGUCAUCCUCCACCUUGAUUUAGCGCAAGAGGAAAGAGUUCUCACUCCAGAAGAAAGUGACAUC
This 567-nucleotide ribosomal RNA is filed under the name Triticum aestivum (bread wheat). RNAcentral describes it as "partial small subunit ribosomal RNA". Lineage: Eukaryota; Viridiplantae; Streptophyta; Magnoliopsida; Poales; Poaceae. The record is from RNAcentral.